Molecule: long non-coding RNA, 201 nt
Filed under: Carica papaya (papaya)
Lineage: Eukaryota; Viridiplantae; Streptophyta; Magnoliopsida; Brassicales; Caricaceae
Description: long non-coding RNA (CPAP_LNC008772)
Source: RNAcentral
GCGUAAUGUUGGGCACUCCCAUAUAUGCGGUAAGUAUUGUUGAUACGAUAGUAGGGCCAGUCCCUAUGAUCUUUACCACAGUGUUGGCAAGUCCUACUACGUUCUAUUGUACAAACCUAAAGAUGAGACUAAGUCAUAGGCCUAGGUCUCUUAUUUUGUUGAACAGGUGCAGUAGGUGCUAAUCUGCGGUAUGAAGCCGAG